RNAcentral lists this RNase P RNA (189 nucleotides) under Mycoplasma wenyonii. Its description in RNAcentral is "partial ribonuclease P RNA". It matches the Rfam family "Bacterial RNase P class B", at positions 56 to 232 of the family's 365-position model. From Rfam's summary of the family: Ribonuclease P (RNase P) is a ubiquitous endoribonuclease, found in archaea, bacteria and eukarya as well as chloroplasts and mitochondria. Its best characterised activity is the generation of mature 5'-ends of tRNAs by cleaving the 5'-leader elements of precursor-tRNAs. The record is from RNAcentral. Lineage: Bacteria; Bacillati; Mycoplasmatota; Mollicutes; Mycoplasmatales; Mycoplasmataceae.
AGUCUGAGAUGACUGUAGUGUUUGUGUAAGUACAUAAAAAAUAAAACUUAACGGCUAGUAAUAGACUAGUUGAUGGCGGAGAACCUUUCUAAAUAAGUGAAUAACUUACAAGAGUAAUUCUCUGUAAAGUGCCACAGAGACGAGCUCUGUAGAAAUAUAGAGUGUGAAACGAGGCAAACCCCUCAAGCA